AGCGAACGCUGGCGGCAGGCCUAACACAUGCAAGUCGAACGGAUCCUUCGGGAUUAGUGGCGGACGGGUGAGUAACACGUGGGAACGUGCCUUUUGGUUCGGAACAACUCAGGGAAACUUGAGCUAAUACCGAAUGUGCCCUUCGGGGAAGAUUAUCGCCAUUAGAGCGGCCCGCGUCUGAUUAGCUAGUUGGUGAGGUAAAGGCUCACCAAGGCUACGAUCAGUAGCUGGUC
Molecule: ribosomal RNA, 233 nt
Filed under: uncultured bacterium
Lineage: Bacteria
Description: partial 16S ribosomal RNA
Rfam family: Bacterial small subunit ribosomal RNA
Source: RNAcentral